CAGUAGCCGCGGUAAUACGUAGGUGGCAAGCGUUAUCCGGAAUUAUUGGGCGUAAAGCGCGCGUAGGUGGUUUUUUAAGUCUGAUGUGAAAGCCCACGGCUCAACCGUGGAGGGUCAUUGGAAACUGGAAAACUUGAGUGCAGAAGAGGAAAGUGGAAUUCCAUGUGUAGCGGUGAAAUGCGCAGAGAUAUGGAGGAGCACCAGUGGCGAAGGCGACUUUCUGGUCUGUAACUGACGCUGAUGUGCGAAAGCGUGGGGAUCAAACAGGAUUAGAUACCCCUGUAGUCCCUGUCUCUUAUAC
Molecule: ribosomal RNA, 301 nt
Filed under: uncultured bacterium
Lineage: Bacteria
Description: partial 16S ribosomal RNA
Rfam family: Bacterial small subunit ribosomal RNA
Source: RNAcentral